RNAcentral lists this ribosomal RNA (435 nucleotides) under uncultured bacterium. RNAcentral describes it as "partial 16S ribosomal RNA". It matches the Rfam family "Bacterial small subunit ribosomal RNA", at positions 29 to 507 of the family's 1533-position model. The record is from RNAcentral.
AGCGAACGCUGGCGGCAGGCUUAACACAUGCAAGUCGAGCGGGCACUUUCGGGUGUCAGCGGCGGACGGGUGAGUAACGCGUGGGAACGUGCCCUCUGGUUCGGAAUAACUCAGGGAAACUUGAGCUAAUACCGGAUACGCCCUUUUGGGGAAAGGCUUGCUGCCGGAGGAUCGGCCCGCGUCUGAUUAGCUAGUUGGUGAGGUAACGGCUCACCAAGGCGACUAUCAGUAGCUGGUCUGAGAGGAUGAUCAGCCACACUGGGACUGAGACACGGCCCAGACUCCUACGGGAGGCAGCAGUGGGGAAUAUUGGACAAUGGGCGCAAGCCUGAUCCAGCCAUGCCGCGUGAGUGAUGAAGGCCUUAGGGUUGUAAAGCUCUUUUAUCCGGGACGAUAAUGACGGUACCGGAGGAAUAAGCCCCGGCUAACUUCGUG